This 542-nucleotide long non-coding RNA is filed under the name Equus asinus (donkey). RNAcentral describes it as "lncRNA (ENSEASG00005026355.1)". The record is from RNAcentral. Lineage: Eukaryota; Metazoa; Chordata; Mammalia; Perissodactyla; Equidae.
GCGCGAGCGCCAAACGCUCAGGGCCCAGGGGCCCUGUCCAGGGGAAGGCCCCCACCCUCCAUGGCCACAGAGCCCUUUCCUCCCUUCCUGUUCCCCCCCUGCGCCCUCCCUCCUCUCCCGCCCUCUUUCCUUCCUCUCUUCCUUUCUUCCUGUAUUGACUGAGCACCUACUGGGGGCCAGCCACUGUUCCAGGCACAGAGGGGUGAACAAGUGCCAGGUGCCAGGCCCUGGAGCUGACAGUCUGAUGAGCGAGACAGCCCAUACCCAUGUGGACACCUGCAUAGACAAAAUAACCCCAGAGAGCCACAACUUGGGCAGACGGUCCCUGGGUAAGUCACCAAACGUCCCUGUGCCUCAGUCUCCUCAUGUGUUCAGUGAGGACGGUAACGGCCUCGUAUCGAAGGUGGUCGUGCAGAUAAAUGAGUGUGUGUGAAGCGCUCAGAAGGGCACCCAGAACGUGCUGAUUGGCACGUGCUGCAGAAAAGGCCUUCAUGUGGGACAAUGACAGGAUAACCCAGAGGAAGUCCCUUGGCAUCUACGUA